UACGGAGGGCGCGAGCGUUGUCCGGAAUCACUGGGCGUAAAGGGCGCGUAGGCGGCCUGGCAAGUCGAUGGUGAAAGCCCGUGGCUCAACUGCGGGUCGGCCAUCGAUACUGCGAGGCUCGAGUCGACUAGAGGCAGAUGGAAUUCCGGGUGUAGCGGUGGAAUGCGUAGAGAUCCGGAAGAACACCGGUGGCGAAGGCGGUCUGCUGGGGUCGCACUGACGCUGAGGCGCGACAGCGUGGGGAGCAAACAGG
This 253-nucleotide ribosomal RNA is filed under the name uncultured Gemmatimonas sp. RNAcentral's name for it is "partial 16S ribosomal RNA". It matches the Rfam family "Bacterial small subunit ribosomal RNA", at positions 524 to 776 of the family's 1533-position model. The record is from RNAcentral. Lineage: Bacteria; Pseudomonadati; Gemmatimonadota; Gemmatimonadia; Gemmatimonadales; Gemmatimonadaceae.